This 164-nucleotide ribosomal RNA is filed under the name Globorotalia inflata. RNAcentral's name for it is "5.8S ribosomal RNA". Lineage: Eukaryota; Foraminifera; Rotaliida; Globorotaliidae. The record is from RNAcentral.
UCGGGCUGCGGAACACCUUACUUACUGAACGUUUAACACGCUUUGUGGACUAAUCUCAUGGACUCGUCCAUAGACCACAGCGUACCUCGUUAAGCACGCUGUUUAUACAAACAUCCACAUAUCUUCUCUUUACAUAAAGAGCUCUUCCAUUGUCUCUCGCUUUA